GUACACGCUGUGACUAGCAUAUCAAUAAGCGGAGGAAAAGAAACUAACAAGGAUUCCCCUAGUAACGGCGAGUGAAGCGGGAAGAGCUCAAAUUUGAAAUCUUAAAGGGUUUCCCUUUACGAAUUGUAGUUUAAAGAAGUGUUUUCUGUUGAGGUUUUGGUAAAAGUUCUUUGGAAUAGGACAUCAUAGAGGGUGAGAAUCCCGUAUUUGACCUUUACUUUCAACUUUGUGAUACACUUUCAAAGAGUCGGAUUGUUUGGGAAUGCAGUCCAAAAUGGGUGGUAAAUUUCAUCUAAAGCUAAAUAUUGGCGAGAGACCGAUAGCGAACAAGUACCGUGAGGGAAAGAUGAAAAGAACUUUGAAAAGAGAGUUAAACAGUACGUGAAAUUGUCAAAAGGGAAGCGUUUGACACCAGUGUUGUUUUUCUGAAAAUCAAUUAAAGAACUGUUUAUGCUAAGUUGUUUAGACUUUAUCAGCUAACUGCUUUAGUUUUGAGCUUUUCUUUAAUGCACUUUUCAGUUAACAAGUCAACAUCAAUUUCUUUUGCUGUAAAAAAGCUUGAGGAAGGUGGCUUGAGAUUCGUCUUAAGUGUUUAUAGCCUCUUGCCUAUGCAGUCGGAGAGAUUGAGGUCUGCAGCGUAGAUCCUUCGGGGCUAAAUGCAUUUGUGCUAAGUUAUAGCAUUUUAUAGACAACUUGUUGACUAUGAUUUGUCUUGUAGCUUACUCGCUUAUGUUAUUUUACCUACGCUUAGGAUGUUGAAGAUGUAGCACAUCAU
This 775-nucleotide ribosomal RNA is filed under the name uncultured Neocallimastigales. Its description in RNAcentral is "partial large subunit ribosomal RNA". It matches the Rfam family "Eukaryotic large subunit ribosomal RNA", at positions 22 to 635 of the family's 3401-position model. Lineage: Eukaryota; Fungi; Neocallimastigomycota; Neocallimastigomycetes; Neocallimastigales. The record is from RNAcentral.